GUUUAUGAGAUACCAAUUUUGGGCGUCGCGAGGGUGCUAAUACCUUCCUCGCGCGUAACCGACUCCCGAACCCUAAUUUUUCUCUGGCUUUUAACGUAGACCUAAAUUCAGCCUUCCUUUUGUUUUAAAAAAAUGAAUCUAAUAGGUGUCCGAUCACACCUAGGAAAAAGGAUCGGUGGCGACUCCCUCUUUAUUUUAAAAUCGAACUUCAGUUUCCAAACUUUUUCACUAGAUUGCCACAAUUAGCG
RNAcentral lists this long non-coding RNA (248 nucleotides) under Gossypium barbadense (sea-island cotton). RNAcentral's name for it is "long non-coding RNA (GBAR_LNC004229)". Lineage: Eukaryota; Viridiplantae; Streptophyta; Magnoliopsida; Malvales; Malvaceae. The record is from RNAcentral.